GCGCCAGUGUGUCUCGAAUGAUUGAUUGAACGAUGAGUGUGUACCACCAAAAAUGACAAUUACCCAAAAAUUCAAAUAAAUCCCACGCAUUAAAUUUCAAAAGUCAAAGUAAAAGUAGACGAACAAAAAUUAUUGACCACAAAUGUGAUGAUGCAAAAGCACGCUCUGAGAAUUUUCUUACCCAAUAUGGAAGUACAACGAUGGUCUGCGUUUAUGAAUCACUUCUGGACGCGGAAUAAACGACAGAACUAUAAAAGUGGAUUCACCUCGAUUUUCAUUGAAAUGUUCCAUCCCCUCGACAAAUUCAUCUCACCACAUUAUCACUGGAGUCCAGGAUUUCGAAUUUUCUCAAGAAUUUAUCUACCACACGUGAAAGGAGUAUCGACAGCCGGCAGCUGAGGAAGAGAUAACCCGUUUAACCCUCUUAGGCCCGUAGUUUUAGAAUCAACAAGCCAAGAGUUUCCGGCACGCGAGAAAUAUAACGUCACGAAUUCUAGUGCCACAAAUUUCUUGGUCUUCAUAUCGAGCUAUUCAACUCUAUCGAUUAUAUUUUGCGAAAUAUUUGAAAAAUCUCCCCACCCCCCUACCCCCUCCCAAUAAUCCAGUCUACCGUUUUUUAAAGCCCCCAUUAAAUUAUUUUUAACAAUAUAAUAUCCAGGGAACAAUAUUUUCUCCUCAUUUUAUAAAAAUAAAAAAGAUACAUUGAGGGAAAAAAUUGGAAAAUGUAAAAAUAUCGGGUCUUAAUGAACAAUUUAAUUUGUUAAUCCAUCCCAGUGAUAAAAAAAAAUUCUGCUGUCAAGAAUAUUUACAUUUAACUUAUGUUUAAUUUACUUAAUAUCAGAAUUUCAUGAAAAUAUUUGUUUUCUUAGUGCAAUGGAAAAAAAAUAAUAAUAAAA
Diachasmimorpha longicaudata is the source of this 896-nucleotide long non-coding RNA. RefSeq lists it as uncharacterized. NCBI's taxonomy places the organism in Eukaryota, Metazoa, Arthropoda, Insecta, Hymenoptera, Braconidae. The transcript is spliced from 2 exons. The record is from RefSeq and is a predicted model, not a curated record.